This 72-nucleotide transfer RNA is filed under the name Ipomoea nil (Japanese morning glory). It matches the Rfam family "tRNA". Rfam says of the family: Transfer RNA (tRNA) molecules are approximately 80 nucleotides in length. Their secondary structure includes four short double-helical elements and three loops (D, anti-codon, and T loops). Lineage: Eukaryota; Viridiplantae; Streptophyta; Magnoliopsida; Solanales; Convolvulaceae. The record is from Rfam by way of RNAcentral.
UCUGUUGUUGUCCAGUGGUUAAGAUAUUUGGUUUUCACCUAAGAGACCCGGGUUUGAUUCUUGACAAUGGAA